AAGGAGCUAUGCUUUUAAAGUGUGAAAGCUUGGCGGCAAGUGUUGCUGUGAUGUGAUUUCUGCUCAGUGCUCUGAAUGUCAAAGUGAAGAAAUUCAGUGAAGCUUGGGUAAACAGCGGGAAUAAUGCUGACUCUCUUCAGAUAGCCAAAUGUCUGGUCAUGUAAUUAGUGACAUGCCUGAAUGGAUGAACAAGAUUCUU
Molecule: non-coding RNA, 199 nt
Filed under: Callithrix jacchus (white-tufted-ear marmoset)
Lineage: Eukaryota; Metazoa; Chordata; Mammalia; Primates; Cebidae
Description: Eukaryotic large subunit ribosomal RNA
Rfam family: Eukaryotic large subunit ribosomal RNA
Source: Rfam by way of RNAcentral